GCGCAGAUAGCCUAGUGGAUAAGAGGCUUGACUACGACUUGGGAGGCCAAGGGUUCGACCCCCAGAUAGUGCU
Caenorhabditis elegans is the source of this 73-nucleotide non-coding RNA. Lineage: Eukaryota; Metazoa; Nematoda; Chromadorea; Rhabditida; Rhabditidae. The record is from the annotation of a RefSeq genome assembly.